AGGCUAGCUUCUACCUUCUCUGUGCGUUCACAACAGUAGAAACUCAACGGAGUGACGAUUAACAUAUGCUGCUCCGACUCCUGGAUGAGCUUUCUCGACCUGCGCACAAGGAGACAGGCAGAGCGCGCUCACAAGCAGGAAUACAAUAAGAUGAACAGCACCCUCUCCAAGUCCCGGGGAUGGAGUGUACUCGCUCUAGAGCUGAAUGUUUUUAAGACGUCAACCCAAUUUAGUUAAACUCAGGCAUGCUGCAUAUAGCUGCCUUCAGUAAAAAUAGCUGUGUUAACUGACAGCAUGUCACCACUUCUAAAAUUGGUCCUCAUGAAGCUACAAAAUGUAACAACGUUGCAUCCUGGAUGCUCUGCAGCAGAUAAAAAAAAGAUCUUGCAGAGGGUAAUAAAACCAGCAGAAAAGAUCACUGGCUCUGGUCUUCUGUUGCAAUCAAAGAGACUGCAGAAGCAAAGACACCACUCAAGAGCUUUAUAUAAGAGUCACUAAAGACAGAUCUCAUUCUGCACUCACUGUUUGACCUGUGCUAGAUGCUACAGGUCCAUCAAAACAAGGACACGUAGACUAAAGAGCUGUUUUUAUUCAGCUGUGCUACAUCAAGCAUCAUUACUGCAAUACACUAUGAGAAGUUCUAUUUAAUUCUCGACUCCUUCAUAUUAAAAAUUAUUUAUUAUCUUUUA
Molecule: long non-coding RNA, 689 nt
Organism: Pundamilia nyererei
Lineage: Eukaryota; Metazoa; Chordata; Actinopteri; Cichliformes; Cichlidae
Exons: 2
Source: RefSeq, a predicted model, not a curated record